AAAUGGCUAAUGACUAACACAGGGAUAAAGGUUGUCCCAUAAUAAAAAGGGACAGAUAACCAGGAGGGAGGUUUUAGUCCGUAGGUCGUCACUGAGACACUUUCUCAGUGGAGUCGGGCAUGCCCUUUGGCCCGGGCCCUUGGGUAUCCAUGAGGAUUUCCUUCCGCCC
Molecule: non-coding RNA, 169 nt
Organism: Bombyx mori (domestic silkworm)
Lineage: Eukaryota; Metazoa; Arthropoda; Insecta; Lepidoptera; Bombycidae
Source: Rfam